This 1338-nucleotide ribosomal RNA is filed under the name uncultured bacterium. RNAcentral's name for it is "bacterial SSU rRNA". It matches the Rfam family "Bacterial small subunit ribosomal RNA", at positions 28 to 1387 of the family's 1533-position model. The record is from RNAcentral.
GACGAACGCUGGCGGCGCGCCUAACACAUGCAAGUCGAACGAGCGAGAGAGAGCUUGCUUUCUCAAGCGAGUGGCGAACGGGUGAGUAACGCGUGAGGAACCUGCCUCAAAGAGGGGGACAACAGUUGGAAACGACUGCUAAUACCGCAUAAGCCCACGGCUCGGCAUCGAGCAGAGGGAAAAGGAGCAAUCCGCUUUGAGAUGGCCUCGCGUCCGAUUAGCUAGUUGGUGAGGUAACGGCCCACCAAGGCGACGAUCGGUAGCCGGACUGAGAGGUUGAACGGCCACAUUGGGACUGAGACACGGCCCAGACUCCUACGGGAGGCAGCAGUGGGGAAUAUUGCACAAUGGGGGAAACCCUGAUGCAGCGACGCCGCGUGGAGGAAGAAGGUCUUCGGAUUGUAAACUCCUGUUGUUGAGGAAGAUAAUGACGGUACUCAACAAGGAAGUGACGGCUAACUACGUGCCAGCAGCCGCGGUAAAACGUAGGUCACAAGCGUUGUCCGGAAUUACUGGGUGUAAAGGGAGCGCAGGCGGGAAGACAAGUUGGAAGUGAAAUCCAUGGGCUCAACCCAUGAACUGCUUUCAAAACUGUUUUUCUUGAGUAGUGCAGAGGUAGGUGGAAUUCCCGGUGUAGCGGUGGAAUGCGUAGAUAUCGGGAGGAACACCAGUGGCGAAGGCGGCCUACUGGGCACCAACUGACGCUGAGGCUCGAAAGUGUGGGUAGCAAACAGGAUUAGAUACCCUGGUAGUCCACACUGUAAACGAUGAUUACUAGGUGUUGGAGGAGUGACCCCUUCAGCGCCGCAGUUAACACAAUAAGUAAUCCACCUGGGGAGUACGACCGCAAGGUUGAAACUCAAAGGAAUUGACGGGGGCCCGCACAAGCAGUGGAGUAUGUGGUUUAAUUCGACGCAACGCGAAGAACCUUACCAAGUCUUGACAUCCUGCGAUGGUGCUGGAAACAGUACUUUCCUUCGGGACGCAGAGACAGGUGGUGCAUGGUUGUCGUCAGCUCGUGUCGUGAGAUGUUGGGUUAAGUCCCGCAACGAGCGCAACCCUUAUGGUCAGUUACUACGCAAGAGGACUCUGGCCAGACUGCCGUUGACAAAACGGAGGAAGGUGGGGAGGACGUCAAAUCAUCAUGCCCCUUAUGACUUGGGCUACACACGUACUACAAUGGCGUUAAACAAAGAGAAGCAAGACCGCGAGGUGGAGCAAAACUCAGAAACAACGUCCCAGUUCGGACUGCAGGCUGCAACUCGCCUGCACGAAGUCGGAAUUGCUAGUAAUCGCAGAUCAGCAUGCUGCGGUGAAUAAAAUCCCGGGCCUUGUACA